ACAUUUUUAUUUCAAUAAAGAGUAUUUUAUGUGCGUGUGUCUGAAUUAAAGAAAGCAAAAAUAAACAAAAAUGAGAAAAGCAAAAGGCUAAAUGUGUGUGUGUAAAAGAAUUCAGUGCUCAGUAUUUUGGCUACAGGAAUUUCUGUCAAAGAGACAUGGUUAAACAAAGGUUAAAUGUUCAAUUAUUUUUCAUAGUGGUUUUGUUUUGUUAAGGUGUUUGUGUGAAUGUAUGCGUAUGCAUGUUUAUGCUAGUAUGUGUAUGAUUGUAUGUAUAUGUAUUUUUUAAUGUGUGGUGAAUUGUAUACAUACACACACGUAUGUGUGUACAGUAAUAGAGAGAAAGAUGGGGGAAUUUCUUUCUAAUUUUUUCCAGGAUAUUUUUUAAAAGUGUAGUUUAGAUGUAGUUUUGCUUACUAAUGGUGAAAAUUUUUGGUAAAUUUAUAGUUUAACACCCCUCAAUUUCAGUGAUCAAUGUUUUUUCCUUGUACUGUCAACUAAUCUCAUCUCCUAAUAUGUCGCAAAUGAUUUUUUUUCCCACGGAAAUUGGAGGUGGACCCUUGAAAAUUCCCCCACCCCUCACCUCACCCAAUUGGGCCCCACACCUCCUAAGGCCAGCCCUGGUUGUGGCUAAGUCAGACAGAUAAUUACAUUCUUAUUCUUAUGUAGAUUUAGGACAACGUAGAUUUAGGACAACUGGAUCUGAAAGUUUUCAGAACUUUCUCCCUCUUAAUCAUUAUUUUUUUAUUGAGACUUUUUUUUUAGCUCUUUUAUAUCACAUAGAUAUGUUAAAAUAUCAUCUUCCAAUUGAGUCCAAAAGCCUAACACUCAAGUUUUUACAUGAUUAUGCCAGUUCUGUGUUAUUGGUCAUAAUAUACACAAGAUCGCUCUGAGAUGAACAAAUCAAUAUUGAUGAUUAUAAGUGCUUGUAGAUUGUACAUAAUACUACACUGACCAUUACAAUAAUUAAUUCGCUUUUUAAAUGUUUAUCAUAAUUACCAUAUCUGUGCAGUGUAAAAUAAGGUGAUGACAAAAAAGGGAAUUUAAUUAAAAUAUUAGAUACUUGUUUAGUCAUUAAAAUGUGAUGUGAAGGUAAAAGAUCAAGAUGUAUUUUAAUGGUUUGUAAUUAUUAUUAGUAGUCUACAAAAUCUCCUGCUCUACAUUGAUCCUUAUAUUGCUUUGUCUAAUUAAUCAGUAUCAACCUGUUAGCAUUCAGAUUACUCUAUCUAAUGUAAUGCUAAUUUAUUCAAAAUGUUUUGAAUUAACUAUGCAUUAUCUCAUAGCUUUGAAAUUUUGAGGAUGUGAUUGUUUAUUUUUAGAAUGACAUUCUAUGGUAUGUGUGAGAAUCCAGAUCUGGCUGGUAUGAACAUAAAACAGGUGAAAUAUUUGGCUUACAGAUGGCCAGUUUGAAUGCUAAAAGGUUAAAUCAAGUGAUAUCAAAGAUUAUAUAUAAAAUGAAAAUAUUCCCUCUUCAGUAGUAUGUGUUUUGUUAACAAAAUGUUUGAGUACAUUAACACAGCAUAGCAGACAUUGUUUUCUAAAUAUAUUUCAGUACGUAGCCUAUCAUUUCUAAAUAUAUUUCAGUACGUAACCUAUCAUGUUCUAGUUUGGUUAUUUUGCCAGAAAAAUGCUGAAGUAGUAUAAAGGAAAAGGUAACGGGAAUGUUUAGUAAGAUUUAUUCAGUUUCAUAAGUAUUGCUGCUCUUCUCAGCUAGACAACAAACUAAACAAAACUAAAGGCCAAGAAUAUUUUUUUCUUUUUGUUUUGUAGCAAUGUAGUUUUUUUUUUCUAUGAAUAUAUCAAUCUUUUUCAGUGUAUAUAUAAAAACAAAUGCCUAUUGUUGCCAUAAUGUUGUUAUUAUUGUUGUUCUACCAUGUAAAGAUCAUUGACAUUUCUGAUUGCAAGACAAUGUGCAAGAGAAAAAUCAAGACAGUUGGGGGGAAGUGUGUAUGGGAGGAUAAUGAUCCUCUUAAAGAGAAUGAAAAGUCAUAGAAGUGCUAUUGUGAAAGGUUGUUUAUUGAAGAAAAACAUAGAAGAAAAAGGGUUUACACCAAGUAAAUCCAACAGACUCCAACCAUUCAAGUUGACAGCAAAAUAAUGGAUGUAGCAGGAAGGCACUUAGUCCAUCAGAAAUCACCACCAUGAUACUUAAAAUAUCUGGCAAAGUGUGAUAUGGACAAAUCAUCUGCAUACUAAAUCAGGUUGUACAGGAAGGUGUUAUACCUAAUGACUGGUGUAAUAACAUCAUCAACUGCUACAAGGAUAAAGUUUAACACACUAGAGAGCAGUAAUUAUUGAAGUAGCACAAUUGACUAGGAAGAGAAUUAACAGGUACAUGAGUGGGAUCUUGCAAGUGAAUUUGGUUGGCAGAAUCUGUAAGAAACCCAUUAUAAUACAUAUAUGUAUAAGUGUGUGUUUGUGAGCGAGAUUUUUUCAUGUCUUGACAUCAUGUGUUAGUUGAAUACAAGAAUCAGUUUUACAAGCUGUUGACUACCCCAUCCGGGCAUAACAAAAUGGAUGUUAAAAUUGUGUGUGUGUGUAAGGAUGUCAAGUGGUUAAAUAAAUAUAUUAAUCUCUUAUACCUUCUGACCUUUUGUGGUUCAUAUAUGUGUGUGCGUGUGUGUGUGUGUACUGUCAAGUCUAUAUUAUUGACUUCAUUUACAUUCCUAUACUUGCCCUCAUUACUUGAACCUCUAAUCACACAUUAUCUUUAUCAUUCAUCUAUCUAUCUCUCAUAUCCCCAUUGUUUUUCUCUUGAUCAUUCUCCCCUCUUCUCAAUCUCACAGUUGCUGGUGUGACCAAGGAUGGUAGUGGAUCUCUUUUGUUUUCUGUACACUGCUUCAAGUGUAACGGGUUCUCUCAUCAACACCCUACCUCCACUUCUUUUUCAUUUUACUUUUGCUCUCUUGGCUAACUUGAAACACAUACAUAAGGGCCCUCAUCAUGUACCCCAUGCACUCCUCUACCUAUACUCUGCUCCUGAUCAUAAAUAGUUGAUAAACCUUGUUAUUUAAGUGACAUAAAUAGUUGAGGAAAUAUAGGACGUGGAAGCAUAGUGAAUAAGGUUAAUGAUGGAUAGUCAUAAAACAGUCAGCAAAAGAUUUAUCACAUUGUAUAAAAAGUAGGCUAUAUGCUUAUAAAACAAGAGGAUCUUUAAUUAUUGGAGAGGUAUAAGUUGAUUAUAACCUGUUUAGUAUGCAGAGAAAUAAAUGCAAAUGAAUGACUGAAUAAAAAGUACUGUGAUUAAAGGAACCCACAGUUAAGAUUACUCAAUGGGAGAAUUAUUACAGACUUGUCCAAUUCAUGCUGGAUAUUGAAAUGUUGAUGAUAGUAGGGAUAGUAAUGGAUGUGGUACAAUAAUAAUGAUCACACCACCAUUAUCAUCAUCGCCACUUCCCUUAAUUCUGUAUUAUCUUAUCUGAGACCAAACCUACUGAGGCAUCACUGUUUCUUUCCAUGUCUACUACUAGAAGUAUCUUUCACUCUUAGUACAUAACACAUUUCCUCUAAUCAUUUGUAGUGCAUUUGUAUCUCCUGUCAAAUCAGUAUAGUCUCUUGCGCUCAUUGAUUGAUACCCCUUCUUCUAUGCUCAACCUUUCAUGGAAAUUAGUGUUGCACAUCCUAUCUCUCACACUUGACUCCUUUCUCUUCAGAAUCUGAAAGACGUUUGUAUUCAAUGCCUGUGUUUCACAAACAUGCAGCAUCACACUUCUUCAUACAGCGUCUUUUGCAUGAAGAGAGAAACCUCUUAUUACAAAUAAAUAUGAGAAUUUCUUUCACUCCUUUCUUACUCAAGCUGCUAUACUUUCUCUAGAAAUACCCCUAAUUGAAAAAGGGAACAGAAAUUACUAUCUCAGAUGACCCAUCUGAGAAGUUUAUGGACUUCACUUUAUAAGUGCUUAUUUGGUUAACUACUCUUGUAUAUGUAGCACAUCUGAAAUCCUUGUUCAUAACCAUUCUCUAGAAUUCCCACUGUAUCUUUUGUAUAUUCAUUGCUUACACUAAUUACAUAAUACUAGGAUCCCACUAACUCUUCCCAAACAUAUCAAACUAUAUCACUUUCAGAUUUCAGCUCUCUCUACCAAUUAGAGUUUUGGUUUUUGUCAUGUUGACAUUUUGGGUUUUUCAUUUUAAGGCCUUUUUUUUUCUUUAAUUCUUCAAAAUAUUUUGCUAUGACAACUAGGUCACCAGCAAAAAAAAGUUCACAAAGAUAUAUAUUUUGAAUGUAAUUUUAAAACCUAAGCUGAACAGAAGCUUCAUCCUGAAAUUUCCUAUAAACACUUCCUUACCUGAUCUACACUUGACUUUUCCAUUACCCACUAGAAUACAGAAUGUAAGACCUUAAGUAAUAACUUGUUCUGUAUUUGUCUCUUUGUGAAUAUGGAUGCACAAAUGUAAUAUUUCCAUUUAGAGACAAUAUCUUAUCCAAACAAAAACACUUAAUAACUUCCAACAGUUGUGACUUUGUGAAUCAAAAAUUUGAUAAUUACUUUUCUCCUCUACAUUUCUUUGCCUUAUAAUGGAUAGUUUUUGCCAGACAUUUGAGCUAACAUUUCUGCAACUAUUUUGAAUGUUCCAGUAGCAUUCACUGCUUAAAUCUAACUAAUUACCCUUACUAAUCAAGCUAAAUCCCUUUAGUUUCUGUUGGAUCUAUGUGGAAUGGAUAUUUACUCUCCUUCUACAACUUUUCAUGGUAGUAAUUCAACACCUCUUUUUCUUUGCACUGUCAAUAACAUCUUGGUUCAUACAAACAUUUUGCCUUGCAAUUUAGAAUCCUCCAUAGCUUUUCUCUUUAUAGUAGGGCAUUAACUCUAAGUUUUCCUUGAAGAAAACUUGAUUCUUGCUUUCUGCCUAGCCUCUUGAUUAGGAUUCAGACUACUUGUUCUGCUUCUUUUAAACCUUUCACUUGACCAUCUAUCUGUGGCAUAAACUUCCUGUUUUAAAGUGACAAGGUUAUUUGACAAAAUUCCUCAGCAUUUUCAAACUUCAUUAAAGCAAAUGCAGGAGAGAAUAAGAUGAAUAGAUGGAGAACGUAAAGACAAAGAGGCUGGAUUGCUGGCUUUAAUCAUCAUGAGUUCUUAUAGCUAAAGACUAGUGGUGGAGUACUAUACAAUAUUUGCUACUGACAUAUGAUUUAAUAUAUCCAUUAAGUUGAUAAAAAGCUUAUAGUUACCAAAUACUAUUUAGUUUUGUUCUCAUUGAUAAUUAGCAACGUAAGAAAGCCGAAGGAAGUCACAAGAGAUCAGUAAUUAUAAAGAACAUGAUAGUAGAAAGGAGGUAUAACAGUAAUGCCAUCUGUUUUAAAUGUAGUAGACUGUAAGUGAAGUAGGCACUUCUUUCAAAAAUAUUUUCAAUUUUUCAAAAUUUUGUUUUGUUUUCUAAUAUUUCCUGACAGCUUGUUGAAAUUUAGUUGUCAAAAGCUUCCUCUACCUAACUCAUCACUUGCUCUAUUUUGUUUUACUGAAUGUGUGUGUAUGUAUUCUUGGUGACAUAUGAAUAAAUAUAUUAACAGGCUGAAUGAAAGCAAAGUACAACUGAAUUAAAUUUCCCUUUAAAAUACAACAUAUGCAAUGUUCUAUUUUAUCAGCACUAUGAGUCAGGCCAGAUGUUGGGGUAUGCAUUGUUGCAGUGCAUUACUGCAGUCACCAUUUGUUGGUAUAUUUUUGGGUCCUUCCAGACAACCCAUUGAACAAAGUCCCAGUCAGUCCUCAUUUCCACGUGAUACCUCCUCAUCUGCUGUGACCAUGUAGCUGACCAACAUGAGCUGUCAACCCAGCUGGAUCCUCAGUGAAGAGAGCAUGGUAAGCAGGGCCUAGCUUGGAAAAUCAAGCAACAUGGCUAAACAGUUUGAACAGAUGCUCCCAAUUCAAGCAAAUAACAGGAUGCAUCCCAGUUUUUGAGCAGAGCUAUUGGUUGGAUACAAUAUGGUAACCCAUAAUUUUGCAUAACAUCCUGCUACCAAGUGAGUUCAGGCAGCUCCUAAGGGCCCCAGACAGUGUCCAAGUCUCACAACUAUAGAGUAAGACGGGGAGAACCAGAGACCUUAGGACUCAAACUUUUGUCCUCCUGCAUAGUGCCAAACACACUUGUCCAAUGCGUGCACAACUGCACCAGCUCAUCCAAGUUUUUCAGGAGUCUAAAGUC
RNAcentral lists this long non-coding RNA (6141 nucleotides) under Octopus sinensis (East Asian common octopus). RNAcentral describes it as "uncharacterized LOC118763645". Lineage: Eukaryota; Metazoa; Mollusca; Cephalopoda; Octopoda; Octopodidae. The record is from RNAcentral.